GGUAGUUCUCAUGUGAUAGGCUAAUGUUGGUCACAUGGAAGGUGUCUAGUCAAGGAGAGACUUCAUUUUAUGUGAAACAAAAUGACUGUUUUAGAACCCACUUGUGAAUGUUGUUAAAUUGGAUAGAUUGUUGGAGUGCUUCUUCGCUGCUUUGAAAGAAAUAGAGAAAAGCUGCAGCAGAAGGCAGACUGCAGAAACAGAUUAAUUUAUUGAGCCCCCUUCUGGGCUACCACGCUUGACAGGUGUACAUCAAUCUGUCUGAGCAAGAGGGCUAUCGAAGUAGCGGCCAGCAACAGUUUCUCUUUGCCUGACCCCCAAAAACUCCACUUCAGGGAAGGUCUUAGACCAGCACAUACACAAUGACUUGGAGCUGAAGAUGUGAUCUGACAACAGGCUUUGCAACUGAAGAGAUACAAGGCUUUUCUCCCAAGUGAUUUGUAGAAGGUUUCGACCUUUGUCAGUUUUAUUGUUGUCUUCAUUUAUCUACUGCCACAGUUUGAAACAGCAGAUUAAGAAAUGGAUGUAACUUUCCUUCCUGGCUGAAAAAGAGGAAAAGAAUGGAGCAGGUGAAAAAGAGGCUGACAAUUACCAUUUCUGUUAAUUACUUAAAAUGGAUAAGUAGCAUUUACUGAAGAUGUGCAUCCAUGCCAAAUGGGUUUUGAAAACAGAUCUAUAAGUUCCCAAGUGAUGAUGAUGUUGAUGAUAAUACUAUGAAAGGGAAAAAGCUACCCACAAAAACAAUUCAUUAAACAUUUUUUUUUAUACCACCAAA
This is a non-coding RNA of Podarcis muralis (Common wall lizard), 772 nucleotides long. The record is from RefSeq and is a predicted model, not a curated record. Lineage: Eukaryota; Metazoa; Chordata; Lepidosauria; Squamata; Lacertidae.